AUACGAAGGGGGCUAGCGUUGUUCGGAAUUACUGGGCGUAAAGCGCGCGUAGGCGGACUGAUCAGUUGGGGGUGAAAUCCCAGGGCUUAACCCUGGAACUGCCUCCAAUACUGUCAGUCUUGAGUUCGGGAGAGGUGAGUGGAAUUCCUAGUGUAGAGGUGGAAUUCGUAGAUAUUAGGAAGAACACCAGUGGCGAAGGCGGCUCACUGGCCCGAUACUGACGCUGAGGCGCGAAAGCGUGGGGAGCAAACAGGAUUAGAUACCCUAGUAGUCC
This 274-nucleotide ribosomal RNA is filed under the name uncultured bacterium. Its description in RNAcentral is "partial 16S ribosomal RNA". It matches the Rfam family "Bacterial small subunit ribosomal RNA", at positions 523 to 796 of the family's 1533-position model. The record is from RNAcentral.